GACGAACGCUGGCGGCGUGCUCAACACAUGCAAGUCGAGCGGUAAGGCCCUCGGGUACGACGAGCGGCGAACGGGUGAGUAACACGUGGGUGGACCUGCCUCUAGCUCUGGGAGUAAGCCUGGGAAACGUGGGUCGUAAUACCGGAUAUGACUCCACGGCGCAUGUUGUGGGGUGGAAAGCCUUGUGUGGCUAGAGAUGGGCCC
RNAcentral lists this ribosomal RNA (204 nucleotides) under uncultured bacterium. Its description in RNAcentral is "partial 16S ribosomal RNA". It matches the Rfam family "Bacterial small subunit ribosomal RNA", at positions 28 to 232 of the family's 1533-position model. The record is from RNAcentral.